Haliotis rubra (blacklip abalone) is the source of this 576-nucleotide long non-coding RNA. RefSeq lists it as uncharacterized. NCBI's taxonomy places the organism in Eukaryota, Metazoa, Mollusca, Gastropoda, Lepetellida, Haliotidae. The transcript is spliced from 3 exons. The record is from RefSeq and is a predicted model, not a curated record.
AUAAUUUCUAUUUAAUAUUUCGGAGAGAGAGAGGUUUAUUCAAGUAAAGGGGCCACAGGCCCAUUAUACAAAUGUACAAAGUGCAAGGUCUAACAAGCGCCAUAAAAUAUUCAAUAUUAGCACAAGUGCUAAUCAGCAGAUACAAGAGGCUGUAGGGGUACUAUACACUCAAGAAUGCAUUACGCUUCUUUAAAGCUAGAUACACAAAUUUUCCAAGAUUAUUAAUAAGAAGUAUAUUCUUCGUCAUGAACAACUGAGACAGUUUCUGUUGUGACGGGAAAUUGUAAUAAUAAUUUGGAAUUGUCAUUUCUCUAAGAUUAUUAUAAAAUGGACAUUCUAGGCAAAAAUGAAAUUCGCUUUCUACAGUAGGAAUAAUACACAAUGGACACAAGCGUUCAUUUCGCUUUAGACCAAGGCGUCUACCAUAUUCAAUCAUUAACAUAUGACUGGAGCUUCUAAUUCUACUUAAGGCAAUACGAAAUACUUUGCAUUGAACGUGAUUAAUGUAGAACUCUAAGCAAACUUUGUUUUUGAUAUUACUCAGAAAAUCAAGUUUAGAAAAACACAGCAUAUCAC